UUGGGAUAGAGCAGAGGGUAGA
Molecule: microRNA, 22 nt
Filed under: Monodelphis domestica (gray short-tailed opossum)
Lineage: Eukaryota; Metazoa; Chordata; Mammalia; Didelphimorphia; Didelphidae
Description: mdo-miR-7266-3p
Source: miRBase by way of RNAcentral